UUGAAGGAAAUAUAAAUUCACGUCUGUACAGAAAAGGGUGCAGCUCAAGCAAAUUGCAUGAAGAAUAUGAUGCAGGAGAAGAAAGUUCAACACUAUUCAGCAAUAGCAAAAAUGAAACACAAAUGUGUCAUUUUUGCCUAUUAGAAUGGUUGAAUUGGAUCAUCAAAGGUUUGUAUAAUAUUCAGAGGAAUACUGAAUCUGUUUUUGUGCAGGUGAGAUGACUAAAUAAAUACAUGUUCAUAUUUAGUCUAGAACUACAGUAACAUAAUUUUUACACAGCGCACACAACGCCUCUGCACUUACUCACGAUUUCUCUCAACAUGGGGACAGGAGAGCUGUCAGUCAAUAAAUGUGAAAACAAAGUAACUGGCGUUACUUAUUUGAAAAGUCUUCGGCCCUCAGACGACACCGCAUCACUCAUCGGCAUGAUUCUGUCAUUGACAUUACUAAAUGGGCCCAGGAAUACUUCCAGAAACCACUGUCAGUAAACACAAUCCGCCGUGCCAUCUGCAGAUGCCAACUAAAGCUCUAUCAUGCAAAAAGGAAGCCAUAUGCCAUAAUCCAUAUCCUUCGGAUGAGACUUUAAACCGAGGUCCUAACUCUCUGUGGUCAUUAAAAAUCCCAGAGUGUCUUUCGAAAAGAGCAGAGGUGUGACCUCGGCAUCCUGGCCAAAUUCACCCAUUGGCCUCUGACCAUCAUGGCCUCCUAACAAUCCCCAUAACUGCUGAUUGGCUUCAUCACUCUGCCUCCUCUCCACCAAUAAGCUGGUGUGUGGUGGGUGUUCUGGCGCACUAUGGCCGUGUCCUCUGGGCUAAAGAGGAGGGAGAACUUCCAGCGUGUUAUAAGCGUUCAGUUCAAAAGCCAUCAUCUCUGAUAGUAUGGGGAUGCAUAAGUUCAUACGAUAUGGGCAGCUUGCAUGUUUUGGAAGGCACUAUGAAUGCUGAAAGGUAUAUAAAGGUUUUAGAGCAACAUAUGCUCCCCUCCAGACGACGCUGUGUAUUUCAGCAGGACAAUGCAAAACCACAUAUUGCAGCUAUUACAACAGCAUGGCUUCAUAGUAGAAGAGUCCGGGUGCUGAAUUGGCCUGCCUGCAGUCCAGAUCUUUCAAUUAUAGAUAACAUUUGGCGCAUCAUUAAACGAAAAAUACAUCAGAGAUGACCACAAACUCCUCAGCAGCUGGACACCUGUAUCAGGCAAGAAUGGGACCAAAUUCCAUCACCAAAACUCCAGAAACUCAUAAGAUCGAUGUCCAGAUGUCUUCAAACUGUUUUGAAAAGAAGAUGCUACACCAGGGGUGAGCAAUUAAUUUUCCCAAGGGGCCACAUGAGAAAUUUGGGUGGUUGCAGAGGGCCGGACCAAUACACUUAACUUAGUUCUGCCCAAUAUAUUUUAUAUCUCUCUAUAAAUGGAACAUUACAAUCAUACAAUGAAAAUGUGGAGCACACAAUUAUACCAGUAGCUAAUGAACAUUCACAAAAACAGUUUUGAAAAUGUGCAUUUUUUUUGCAGUGUUUCAAAAACUACCAUCACAAUUUUGAACAAAAAAAUCAAGUAUUUAAAAGAUUAUGGACGUGACAUUCGCAGUCAAAAUCUGAAACACACAUUCUCAUAGAAUGUAUUCAUUACCAAUAGCUAUAUUGGACCAUCUCUUCAUAUUUUUCUAAACCACUGAAAAUAGAGUCCAGACAUCAGUAAAGUAUCAGUUUAUAAACAAUGAGGAAAAUAGGAUACACAUGCGUUAUGUGUAUCCUAUGCGGACGUGACAAAAAAAAAAAAAAAAAAGACAAGUUUUUGGGAGACAACGUAGGCCUAUUUGUAGACUUUCUGUGAUUUACAAUGCACAGCCCAGAAGCAACAAUAUCUGCCAGAUGGAAAGGGUUGGCUAUUCACAACAUAAAAUAUAGCCUACAUAGGCUAUUUUUUUAUUUAAAUAAAUUCAUUUUUGUGUUUCAGAGGAAAAAAUCAAUGUUACGGACAGACAUCUCUCCGUUACGGAUGUGACAGUUCUGAAAGCAGAAUUUAUCCGACAAUGGAAACGUGUAGCUAAAAUGCUCAUUAUUAACUAAUUGCAUCCCAGACAGCAGUUGACUCUGUGCUGGAUCCGUUUUCAAACCGGCAAAUCCGUAUUACAGUCACAUCCGUUUCAGUGCUGUAGCACGGAUCCAGCCCGGUCCGGUUUCAG
Long non-coding RNA from Onychostoma macrolepis, 2182 nucleotides. RefSeq lists it as uncharacterized. The record is from RefSeq and is a predicted model, not a curated record. The transcript is spliced from 3 exons. NCBI's taxonomy places the organism in Eukaryota, Metazoa, Chordata, Actinopteri, Cypriniformes, Cyprinidae.